Molecule: ribosomal RNA, 399 nt
Filed under: uncultured bacterium
Lineage: Bacteria
Description: partial 16S ribosomal RNA
Rfam family: Bacterial small subunit ribosomal RNA
Source: RNAcentral
UGGGGAAUUUUGGACAAUGGGCGAAAGCCUGAUCCAGCAAUGCCGCGUGUGUGAAGAAGGCCUUCGGGUUGUAAAGCACUUUUGUCCGGAAAGAAAUCCUUGGCUCUAAUACAGUCGGGGGAUGACGGUACCGGAAGAAUAAGCACCGGCUAACUACGUGCCAGCAGCCGCGGUAAUACGUAGGGUGCAAGCGUUAAUCGGAAUUACUGGGCGUAAAGCGUGCGCAGGCGGUCCGCUAAGACAGAUGUGAAAUCCCCGGGCUUAACCUGGGAACUGCAUUUGUGACUGGCGGGCUAGAGUAUGGCAGAGGGGGUAGGAAUUCCACGUGUAGCAGUGAAAUGCGUAGAGAUGUGGAGGAAUACCGAUGGCGAAGGCAGCCCCCUGGGCCAAUACUGACGC